Molecule: ribosomal RNA, 253 nt
Filed under: uncultured bacterium
Lineage: Bacteria
Description: partial 16S ribosomal RNA
Rfam family: Bacterial small subunit ribosomal RNA
Source: RNAcentral
GACGUAGGGCGCGAGCGUUGUCCGGAUUUAUUGGGCGUAAAGAGCUCGUAGGCGGCUUGUCACGUCGGAUGUGAAAGCCCGGGGCUUAACUCCGGGUCUGCAUUCGAUACGGGCAGGCUAGAGUUCGGUAGGGGAGAUCGGAAUUCCUGGUGUAGCGGUGAAAUGCGCAGAUAUCAGGAGGAACACCGGUGGCGAAGGCGGAUCUCUGGGCCGAUACUGACGCUGAGGAGCGAAAGCGUGGGGAGCGAACAGG